Molecule: transfer RNA, 84 nt
Filed under: bacterium
Lineage: Bacteria
Description: tRNA-Leu
Rfam family: tRNA
About the family: Transfer RNA (tRNA) molecules are approximately 80 nucleotides in length. Their secondary structure includes four short double-helical elements and three loops (D, anti-codon, and T loops).
Source: RNAcentral
GCCCAUGUGGCGAAAUUGGUAGACGUGCCACCUUGAGGUGGUGGUGACCGAAAGGUUGUGCAAGUUCGAAUCUUGUCGUGGGCA